AACGCUAGCUACAGGCUUAACACAUGCAAGUCGAGGGGAAACGACAUCGAAAGCUUGCUUUUGAUGGGCGUCGACCGGCGCACGGGUGAGUAACGCGUAUCCAACCUGCCCGCCACUUGGGAAUAACCUUGCGAAAGUAAGACUAAUACCCAAUGAUAUCUCUAGAAGGCAUCUGAAAGAGAUUAAAGAUUUAUCGGUGAUGGAUGGGGAUGCGUCUGAUUAGCUUGUUGGCGGGGUAACGGCCCACCAAGGCAACGAUCAGUAGGGGUUCUGAGAGGAAGGUCCCCCACAUUGGAACUGAGACACGGUCCAAACUCCUACGGGAGGCAGCAGUGAGGAAUAUUGGUCAAUGGACGAGAGUCUGAACCAGCCAAGUAGCGUGCAGGAUGACGGCCCUAUGGGUUGUAAACUGCUUUUAUAAGGGAAUAAAGUGAGAGUCGUGACUCUUUUUGCAUGUACCUUAUGAAUAAGGACCGGCUAAUUCCGUGCCAGCAGCCCGCGGUAAUACGGAAGGUCCGGGCGUUAUCCGGAUUUAUUGGGUUUAAAGGGAGCGUAGGCCGGAAAUUAAGCGUGUUGUGAAAUGUAGAUGCUCAACAUCUGAACUGCAGCGCGAACUGGUUUCCUUGAGUACGCACAAAGUGGGCGGAAUUCGUGGUGUAGCGGUGAAAUGCUUAGAUAUCACGAAGAACUCCGAUUG
RNAcentral lists this ribosomal RNA (697 nucleotides) under uncultured Bacteroidales bacterium. RNAcentral describes it as "bacterial SSU rRNA". It matches the Rfam family "Bacterial small subunit ribosomal RNA", at positions 32 to 715 of the family's 1533-position model. Lineage: Bacteria; Pseudomonadati; Bacteroidota; Bacteroidia; Bacteroidales. The record is from RNAcentral.